AAAAUCGGGGCACGGUCAUCGUGGAGCGCUGGUGGAAGGUACCGCUGGCCGGGGAGGGCCGGAAGCCGCGCCUGCACCGGCGACAUCGCGUCUAUAAGCUGGUGGAGGACACGAAGCAUCGGCCCAAAGAAAACCUGGAGCUCAUCCUGACGCAGUCGGUGGAGAAUGUUGGAGUCCGGGGUGACCUGGUCUCAGUGAAGAAAUCUUUAGGCCGGAAUCGACUCCUUCCUCAGGGACUGGCUGUAUAUGCAUCCCCUGAAAACAAGAAGCUGUUUGAAGAGGAGAAAUUGCUGAGACAAGAAGGAAAAUUAGAGAAGAUCCAGACCAAGGCAGGUGAGGCGACCCAAGAGUGGGAGAAAGGGGAAGUGUUGUGGCUGCCCCACAAAACAG
This 390-nucleotide long non-coding RNA is filed under the name Homo sapiens (human). RNAcentral describes it as "non-protein coding lnc-TDRKH-1:2". The record is from RNAcentral. Lineage: Eukaryota; Metazoa; Chordata; Mammalia; Primates; Hominidae.